Lycium barbarum (goji berry) is the source of this 1585-nucleotide long non-coding RNA. RefSeq lists it as uncharacterized. NCBI's taxonomy places the organism in Eukaryota, Viridiplantae, Streptophyta, Magnoliopsida, Solanales, Solanaceae. The record is from RefSeq and is a predicted model, not a curated record. The transcript has 3 exons.
UCUGUUCUGAUUUUUCUUAUGAAUUGAUUGAAUUUUUUUUUGACCCAUUAGGUUAUUUCCUUUACUGUAGAAACUUCAGAUUAAGCUUUUUCUUGCUUAGGUAGUCCUUCGUCUUUCUAGACCUUUUUAGCAGUAUUUUGGUAGGCAACAAAGUGCUUGAUAAAUAUUAUUACAAACUUGAUUUUAUGAAGGAUGAUGGUUGGAUUUAUUUCUUUCUAGAGAAAUACAAAGACAAAUUGACUUCUCAUGAAGUUAAAAGGAAAUAAUAUUUUGUAGUGAAAUUAGAACGAUAAAUAUGUUGUUGUGCGUUUGUAAUAUUUGGCAACAUUUCUGUCCCCCCCUUUUCACUUCAUGAAUAUAUUCUUAACAAACUAUCUUUUUUCUUCUUAUUUUGUUUAUGAUAUUUAUGUAUGAGCAUUAUAGAGUACAUUCUCAUUGGACUAUUCAAAGAGAAUAUGGAUGUUAUACAUAAUUUCUUAAAACUUUGCUUUUCUUGUUGAAAAUAGUUUACGUAGAUAGCAGCCAGCAUGUUUAGCUUUGAUUGAAAUUUCAGUGGAACUUCUAGUUAAGGGCAUAGUAAACCUGUUUCUUCAAGCAAAUUGAAGAAAAGCUGAAAAUAAAAUCUGGUUUAUGCAAAUUAAAGCUUAAGGUUCUUUCUGAAAGACAUACCAAUAGUUAAAGAUUAAGAUUUUCCGUACACACAUUUACAUUCUUCAUGUAUUUGAAGUUCUUAUCGUUCAGUUUUUCAGCUACUGCUGUUAGGAAAAAAUCUAGCCAAAAAGAAUUAUGUACUCCUAUCAUGAGGUUGUUUAUAUGGGGAAAGCUGAAAAGUUGUUUUUGCAUCGCUAAAACUCCCUAUUUACUUCUCUUUUUGCACUACUUCACAUUUCCAGUGUUAUUUAAAGCACUUGUUGCUUCGAUCGCUUAAAACGUGAAGUGUAGAUGAAGCAAGAAGCAACUGAAGCAUGCUCUUAAUUUAUUUUCACAAAAAAAAGUACACUUUAAAAUGAAAAAGAUGUAAGUUUCUUAUCUGUUUCAUUGCUCUCUUCUUUGGUCUAGGUUUUGCGUGUUGCAACUGAUUUAUCUUCUUCAGGAUAAAUUUGAGAGUGAUGACAAGGAUAUUAAUCGCGAUCAUAUCUUGGGAUGGAUGAAAGAAUUUUGGAACAAAAGCAGAGGAAAAUUGAUGCAAAGUAUGUGAAGGGUAAGCCAAUCCAAGACGCUCUUAAGAAUUUGACGAUGGGGGUAGACAAGAAACAAUGAGAAUGGUUGGUAAAGAAUAUUUUUUCCACCGAAAGUUUUCAGGUUUUGAAUACUGGAGUUUACAAGAAGCAAGUUUUUGAGGACAUACAGCUGGUUGACUAUCAAUUUGUUUCAAGAAGCAAGUUGACAAACUCUAUAUUAUAGGCUAGGAAUGUUAGCUUCAUACAUUUUCUACUAAGGGAACAUGUACACAAUAUUGUUACUAUAGCUUAUAUUGUGGUUGUAAGAUGCCAACUAAUGCAAAUCUUGUCUUUUUUUUUUUUUUUGUAAUUAAUUAUAUGUGUAUGAAAGCAGGAUCAUCAUUAUAUUAUCCUUUUGUGAUCUA